CUAUCCAGCGAGGGCUCCGCGAGGACUGCUGCGGGCAGAGCCGGCCGAACCUCGGAGAAGGGCAGGAGUUGUCCUGCCCACGCUCCGCACAGCCUGUUCCCUAACUCCCGAGGCGCAGACCGUCUUCACCGCGGGCUUCAGCCCCAACCAGUUAAACCGGCCCGGAGGCCGGCCCAGCAGCCGCGGGGUGGGGCUCAUCCAGGGCUGGGUGGGGAGUCUGGCUUGGGGUGGGGACUUUUGCUGGGGAUUUGGACAAAGGAAGCGCCCCGGGCUUCCAAAGAGGAACCUCCUAGGAUUUCGUGUCGGCCUUUGCCUCAGCGUUCCUUAAACGGGGGCCGACGAGCGCCUCCCUCGAUCCUUGCACCGAGGAGCUCUUGAGUCAGAGCUGCCCUUCGCUCGGCAGGCGUGCACACAGAACUGGAUCUGAAGGAAGAUAGAAGUAACUGCAUUUCCUCCAGAAACCCUUCACAAAGGCUUCAGGAAUUGUCCUGCAAAUGUUCUUGUCUUAUAAAGUUUGACAGUUGACUUGGGAGAUGUCUCCUCUCCAUCGAAUUCUCCAAGGAAGAAUGUUGGAGUGGGUUGUCAUUCCUUUCCAGGGGAUAUUCCCGACCCGGGGAUCCGACCCCGGUCUCCCGCAUUGCAGGCAGAUUCUUUACCAUCUGUGCCACCGGGGAAGCCCCUAGAUUGGGGAUAGAUGGCCUUUCCCAGUCACCUCCAUUACUGCCUGUGCUCCUCUUCCUACAACUUCAUUACAUGUUUAGACUGACCUCUGUGAUCCACCCUACCCUGUUCCAAAUCAGCCCGCCUCAAGUCUGAUGGUAGAUCUCUCCCUUGUACCUUGCAUUUCCCACUCGAAAGUUGAGCCCUCUUGGCUUGAUACCCAGGAAGGGCCCACAACAGACCAAGAUGGUCUGCUGUAGCCAUUGUAUUCUGACUUUUUGAAAAGCUUUCUUAUUGCCCGUCUGGCAACAGAACGGUGUCCUCUGUCCACUGGGAUGGGCAUGUUAUCUUGCCAAUUACAGUACUCUGGCAACUUUGAUUGGGUCACGGAAUGGGCACUGACCACGUUGGCUAUUGAACCCUUGUUGGAAGUUGCUAUAUGGACACACAAAAGGGAGGAAAGAUAGCAUCUUAUUGAUGGUCAUGUUAUUCACAAAUAGGCCUUUCUCAACUUCACUGGUAGUCCAGUGGUUAAGAACCUACCUGCUAAUGCAGGGGACACAUUUUAAAUCCCUGGUUGGGAAAGAUCCCACAUGCCUCGGCAACCCCAUGCACCAGAACUACACCCCUAUGCCUAGAGCCUGUGCUUCACAGCAACAAGAGAAAACAAUGCAAUGAGAAGCCUGUGGACCUCACGGAAGACUAGUCACUUGCUGCAACUAGAGGAAGCACACACAUAGCAACAAAGACCCAGCACGGCCAUAAUAGUCACGUAUGGAUGUGAGAGUCAGACUAUAAAGAAAGCUGAGCACCAAAGAACUGAUGCUUUUGAACUGUGGUGUUGGAGAAGACUCUCGAGAGUCCCUUGGACUGCAAGGAGAUCCAACCAGUCCAUCCUAAAGGAGAUCAGUUCUGAGUGUUCAUUGGAAGGACUGAUGUUGAAGCUGAAACUCCAAUACUUCGGCCACCUGAUGCGAAGAGCUGACUGAUUGGAAAAGACCCUGAUGCUGGGAAAGAUUGAAGGUGGGAGGAGAAGGGGAAGACAGAGGAUGAGAUGGUUGGAUGGCAUCACUGACUCAAUGGAUAUGAGUUUGAACUCCGGGAGAUGGUGAUAGGUAAGGAAGCCUGGAGUGCUGCAGUCCAUGGGGUUGCAAAGAGUUGAACACAACUGAGUGACUGAACUGAACUGAACAAAAUAAGCGUCAGAACUGUAUGAGUUCAGUUGUGCUCUUUGCAGCAAUUUGCCCCACAAUUUAAUGGCUUUAAAGUUUUCAGCUCUUGCGACUGUAGUCAGCUGAUGUGUUAAGUGGAGGUGGGCUCACUUGGAGCAGCUGCAAUGGCUAAGCCUCUCUUACAGGCUCUUGGCUUCCCACGGAGGCUGCAUUCUCAGGGCACAAGCACUUUUCAAAUGUUUGCAUAUUGUCUAUUAAUGGGAUACUGGCCAAAGCAAGUCACAUGCCAAGUCCCAGACUCAAGGGAUGGAGAAUAGAUUCCGCCCCCAGAUGGGAGACAAUGGAAAGAAUUUGUGCCAUUUAUUUGCAAACUAUGACAAGAACUCUCGAAUCUUCUUGGCUCCUAAGGAAUGAUUUUAUAUCCUCCAAGAAUCUGUGAUAAGUCAGUGUGAUUGACACCUUUGCUAAACCAGCUGCCUCUCAGGUUUGGCUAACACUGUGGAAGUAAGUACAAGAGCAAAAAUUAAGCAUGUUCACCAUUCUACUCAUGACUGGUAGAGUGCCUGGCACAUAAUAGAUGCUUAAUAAAUUUUUGUGCAAUGA
Dama dama (fallow deer) is the source of this 2435-nucleotide long non-coding RNA. RefSeq lists it as uncharacterized. The record is from RefSeq and is a predicted model, not a curated record. The transcript is spliced from 2 exons. NCBI's taxonomy places the organism in Eukaryota, Metazoa, Chordata, Mammalia, Artiodactyla, Cervidae.